This 2886-nucleotide ribosomal RNA is filed under the name Acinetobacter baumannii 1457504. RNAcentral's name for it is "bacterial LSU rRNA". It matches the Rfam family "Bacterial large subunit ribosomal RNA". The record is from RNAcentral. Lineage: Bacteria; Pseudomonadati; Pseudomonadota; Gammaproteobacteria; Moraxellales; Moraxellaceae.
UCAAGUAAUUAAGUGCAUGUGGUGGAUGCCUUGGCAGUCAGAGGCGAUGAAAGACGUGAUAGCCUGCGAAAAGCUCCGGGGAGGCGGCAAAUAUCCUUUGAUCCGGAGAUGUCUGAAUGGGGGAACCCACCUACUUUAAGGUAGGUAUUGCAACAUGAAUACAUAGUGUUGCAAGGCGAACGAGGGGAAGUGAAACAUCUCAGUACCCUUAGGAAAAGAAAUCAAUUGAGAUUCCCUCAGUAGCGGCGAGCGAACGGGGAUCAGCCCAUUAAGUUAUGUGUGUUUUAGUGGAACGCUCUGGGAAGUGCGAACGUAGAGGGUGAUAUUCCCGUACACGAAAGGGCACACAUAAUGAUGACGAGUAGGGCGAGGCACGUGAAACCUUGUCUGAAUAUGGGGGACCAUCCUCCAAGGCUAAAUACUCCUGACUGACCGAUAGUGAACCAGUACCGUGAGGGAAAGGCGAAAAGAACCCCUGUGAGGGAGUGAAAUAGAUCCUGAAACCGCAUGCAUACAAGCAGUGGAGCACCUUCGUGGUGUGACUGCGUACCUUUUGUAUAAUGGGUCAGCGACUUAUAUUCAGUAGCGAGGUUAACCGUAUAGGGAGCCGUAGAGAAAUCGAGUCUUAAUAGGGCGUUUAGUUGCUGGGUAUAGACCCGAAACCAGGCGAUCUAUCCAUGAGCAGGUUGAAGGUUGGGUAACACUAACUGGAGGACCGAACCCACUGUCGUUGAAAAGCCAGGGGAUGACUUGUGGAUAGGGGUGAAAGGCUAAUCAAGCCUGGUGAUAGCUGGUUCUCCCGAAAGCUAUUUAGGUAGCGCCUCGGACGAAUACCAUAGGGGGUAGAGCACUGUUUCGGCUAGGGGGUCAUCCCGACUUACCAAACCGAUGCAAACUCCGAAUACCUAUGAGUACUAUCCGGGAGACAGACUGCGGGUGCUAACGUCCGUAGUCAAGAGGAAAACAAUCCAGACCGCCAGCUAAGGCCCCAAAAUCAUAGUUAAGUGGGAAACGAUGUGGGAAGGCAUAGACAGCUAGGAGGUUGGCUUAGAAGCAGCCACCCUUUAAAGAAAGCGUAAUAGCUCACUAGUCGAGUCGGCCUGCGCGGAAGAUGUAACGGGGCUAAAACUAUGUGCCGAAGCUGCGGAUGUAUACUUUGUAUACGUGGUAGGGGAGCGUUCUGUAAGCCGAUGAAGGUGUGUUGAGAAGCAUGCUGGAGGUAUCAGAAGUGCGAAUGCUGACGUGAGUAACGACAAAACGGGUGAAAAACCCGUUCGCCGAAAGACCAAGGGUUCCAGUCCAACGUUAAUCGGGGCUGGGUGAGUCGACCCCUAAGGCGAGGCCGAAAGGCGUAGUCGAUGGGAAAAUGGUUAAUAUUCCAUUACUUCUGUGUAAUGCGAUGAGAGGACGGAGAAGGCUAAAUCAGCCUGGCGUUGGUUGUCCAGGUGAAAGGAUGUAGGCAUGUAUCUUAGGCAAAUCCGGGGUACUCUAUGCUGAGAUCUGAUAGCAAGCUGUACUUGUACAGCGAAGUGGUUGAUGCCAUGCUUCCAGGAAAAGUCUCUAAGCUUCAGUUACACAGGAAUCGUACCCGAAACCGACACAGGUGGUCAGGUCGAGUAGACCAAGGCGCUUGAGAGAACUCUGCUGAAGGAACUAGGCAAAAUGGUACCGUAACUUCGGGAGAAGGUACGCUGUUGUUGGUGAUGGAACUCGCUUCCUGAGCUGACGACAGCCGCAGAAACCAGGCCGCUGCAACUGUUUAUUAAAAACAUAGCACUCUGCAAACACGAAAGUGGACGUAUAGGGUGUGAUGCCUGCCCGGUGCUGGAAGGUUAAUUGAUGGGGUUAGCGUAAGCGAAGCUCUUGAUCGAAGCCCCAGUAAACGGCGGCCGUAACUAUAACGGUCCUAAGGUAGCGAAAUUCCUUGUCGGGUAAGUUCCGACCUGCACGAAUGGCAUAAUGAUGGCGGCGCUGUCUCCAGCAGAGGCUCAGUGAAAUCGAAAUCGCUGUGAAGAUGCAGUGUACCCGCGGCUAGACGGAAAGACCCCGUGAACCUUUACUGCAGCUUGACACUGAACUUUGACCUUACUUGUGUAGGAUAGGUGGGAGGCUUUGAAGCUGGAACGCUAGUUCCAGUGGAGCCGUCCUUGAAAUACCACCCUGGUAAUGUUGAGGUUCUAACUCUGUCCCGUGAUCCGGGACGAGGACCGUGUCUGGUGGGUAGUUUGACUGGGGCGGUCUCCUCCUAAAGAGUAACGGAGGAGUACGAAGGUGCGCUCAGCGUGGUCGGAAAUCACGCGUAGAGUAUAAAGGCAAAAGCGCGCUUAACUGCGAGACCCACAAGUCGAGCAGGUACGAAAGUAGGUCUUAGUGAUCCGGUGGUUCUGUAUGGAAGGGCCAUCGCUCAACGGAUAAAAGGUACUCUGGGGAUAACAGGCUGAUACCGCCCAAGAGUUCAUAUCGACGGCGGUGUUUGGCACCUCGAUGUCGGCUCAUCUCAUCCUGGGGCUGAAGCAGGUCCCAAGGGUAUGGCUGUUCGCCAUUUAAAGAGGUACGCGAGCUGGGUUUAGAACGUCGUGAGACAGUUCGGUCCCUAUCUACCGUGGGCGCUGGAAAUUUGAGAGGAUCUGCUCCUAGUACGAGAGGACCAGAGUGGACGAACCUCUGGUGUACCGGUUGUGACGCCAGUCGCAUCGCCGGGUAGCUAUGUUCGGAAGGGAUAACCGCUGAAAGCAUCUAAGCGGGAAGCCUACCUCAAGAUAAGAUUUCCCUAGGACUUUAUGUCCUCUAAAGAGCCGUUCGAGACUAGGACGUUGAUAGGUUGGAUGUGGAAGCAUAGUGAUAUGUGAAGCUGACCAAUACUAAUUGCUCGUGAGGCUUGACUAU